AGUCGAACGGCAGCACGGACUUCGGUCUGGUGGCGAGUGGCGAACGGGUGAGUAAUGUAUCGGAACGUGCCUAGUAGCGGGGGAUAACUACGCGGCGUAGCUAAUACCGCAUACGCCCUUCGGGGAAAGCGGGGGACCUUCGGGCCUCGCACUAUUAGAGCAGCCCGAUAUCAGCGAGUUAGCUAGUUGGUGGAGUAACGGCUCACCAAGGCGACGAUCCGUAGCUGGUUUGAGAGGACGACCAGCCACACAGGACUGAGACACGGCCCAGACUCCUACGGGGAGGCAGCAGUGGGGAAUUUUGGACAAUGGGGGAAACCCUGAUCCAGCCAUCCCACGUGUGCGAUGAAGGCCUUCGGGUUGUAAAGCACUUUUGGCAGGAAAACGGCACGGGAUAAUACCCCCGUGCAGCUGACGGUACACCUGCAGAAUAAGCACCGGCUAACUACGUGCCAGCAGCCGCGGUAAUACGUAAGUGCAAGCGUUAAUCGGAAUUACUGGGCGUAAAGCGUGCGCAGGCGGUUCGGAAAGAAGAUGUGAAAUCCCAGAGCUUGCUUUGGAACUGCAUUUUUAACUACCGAGCUAGAGUGUGUCAGAGGGAGGUGGAAUUCCACGUGUAGCAGUGAAAUGCGUAGAUAUGCGGAGGAACACCGAUGGCGAAGGCAGCCUCCUGGGAUAACACUGACGCUCAUGCACGAAAAGCGUGGGGAGCAAACAGGAUUAGGUACCUGGUAGUCCACCUAAACGAUGUCAACUAGCUGUUGGGGCCUUCGGGCCUUGGUAGCGCAACUAACGCUGAGGUGACCGCCACUAGGAAGUACGGUCGCAAGAUUAAAACUCAAAGGAAUUGACGGGGACCCGCACAAGCGGUGGAUGAUGUGAUUAAUUCGAUGCAACGCGAAAAACCUUACCUACCCUUGACAUGUACGGAAUCCCAGAGAGAUUUGGGAGUGCUCGCAAGAGAACCGGAACACAGGUGCUGCAUGGCUGUCGUCAGCUCGUGUCGUGAGAUGUUGGGUUAAGUCCGCAACGAGCGCAACCCUUGUCAUUAGUUGCUACGAAAGGGCACUCUAAUGAGACUGCCGGUGACAAACCGGAGAAGGUGAGGAUGACGUCAAGUCCUCAUGGCCCUUAUGGGUAGGGCUUCACGUCAUACAAUGGUCGGGACAGAGGGGUCGCCAGCCCGCGAGGGGGAGCCAAUCCCGAAACCCGAUCGUAGUCCGGAUCGCAGUCUGCAACUCGACUGCGUGAAGUCGGAAUCGCUAGUAAUCGCGGAUCAGCAUGUCGCGGUGAAUACGUUCCCGGGUCUUGUACACACCGCCCGUCACACCAUGGGAGUGGGUUUUACCAGAAGUAGUUAGCCUAACCGUAAGGAGGGCGAUUACCACGGUAGGAUUCAUGACUGGGGUGAAGUCAUCAACAAGGUAA
Molecule: ribosomal RNA, 1428 nt
Filed under: uncultured Bordetella sp.
Lineage: Bacteria; Pseudomonadati; Pseudomonadota; Betaproteobacteria; Burkholderiales; Alcaligenaceae
Description: partial 16S-23S ribosomal RNA intergenic spacer
Rfam family: Bacterial small subunit ribosomal RNA
Source: RNAcentral